CUGUAUGAAAAAACUUAAACCAAUACUAUGUGAGACAAUAACAUUCCCUAUUAGACACAUACAACCUAUGAUUGCGAUUAUUUUUGCAAAAUAACUUAUUCAACCAAAAAUUGCUAGAGGUGCAAAAUUUAGCUGAGAUCCCGCAAAGCAAGGAACUAAGAUUUACUAGGAAGACAAGACCCUAUAUGAGUUGCCUACAUAUCAUACCCCGAAAGACGAGAAUCAAGUUUGCGUAGUUCGGGAAAAUUGGAUACGGGCAAGAAUUAAAAAAACAGCUAAUUUUUUAAAGAAAAUAUUU
This 298-nucleotide long non-coding RNA is filed under the name Nicotiana benthamiana. Its description in RNAcentral is "long non-coding RNA (NBEN_LNC008444)". The record is from RNAcentral. Lineage: Eukaryota; Viridiplantae; Streptophyta; Magnoliopsida; Solanales; Solanaceae.